This 492-nucleotide ribosomal RNA is filed under the name uncultured bacterium. Its description in RNAcentral is "partial 16S ribosomal RNA". It matches the Rfam family "Bacterial small subunit ribosomal RNA", at positions 29 to 507 of the family's 1533-position model. The record is from RNAcentral.
AGUGAACGCUGGCGGUAGGCCUAACACAUGCAAGUCGUACGGCAGCACAGUAAGAGCUUGCUCUUACGGGUGGCGAGUGGCGGACGGGUGAGGAAUACAUCGGAAUCUACUUUUUCGUGGGGGAUAACGUAGGGAAACUUACGCUAAUACCGCAUACGACCUACGGGUGAAAGCAGGGGAUCUUCGGACCUUGCGCGAUUGAAUGAGCCGAUGUCGGAUUAGCUAGUUGGCGGGGUAAAGGCCCACCAAGGCGACGAUCCGUGGCUGGUCUGAGAGGAUGAUCAGCCACACUGGAACUGAGACACGGUCCAGACUCCUACGGGAGGCAGCAGUGGGGAAUAUUGGACAAUGGGCGCAAGCCUGAUCCAGCCAUACCGCGUGGGUGAAGAAGGCCUUCGGGUUGUAAAGCCCUUUUGUUGGGAAAGAAAAGCAGCAGGUUAAUACCCCGCUGUUCUGACGGUACCCAAAGAAUAAGCACCGGCUAACUUCGUG